Molecule: ribosomal RNA, 501 nt
Filed under: Panorpodes paradoxus
Lineage: Eukaryota; Metazoa; Arthropoda; Insecta; Mecoptera; Panorpodidae
Description: partial 28S rRNA
Source: RNAcentral
AAACCUGAGAAACCCGAAAGUUCGAAUGAAAAGAUUCAAUAUUCUUCAAUUGGUUGUACAUUUACAUAUGUGAUUAUGUGAUAGUUUUGUUAAUUUCAUUAUCCUUAACCGGAUUUUGAAUGUACAUAUUCUACACCACUUUGUUUAUGAACUAAAUACAACUAUGAAGGUAUGCACUUCUUUUCUAGUAGGACGUUGCGACCCAUUGAAUGUUAAUCUACGGCUACUCGUUAGAGCCUAUUCCUAUUUUACUUAAUUGUAUUUAUGGGAAAUAGAUUUCUGAGUGUGUCCCGAAUAACUGUUCGAUGGUAUUUAUAAAACCAUAAUAUUGGAUCGCCACUUUGUCUGGGCAUUUGGUAUUCAUUCAAGUAUGUAAGGUAAUUUGAAUGUCAGGGGCUCUUGUACUGGCUUUGAAUCCUAACUACUGUUCGAGUGAAAUUUACUAUCAAAUAGUAUCCUUUUAUUGGUCAGCAACGCUGUUGCUUUGGGUACUUUCAGGAC